CGUUCUCGGGCCUUGUACACACCGCCCGUCACACCACGAAAGUUGGCAAUACCCGAAGCCGGUGGCCUAACCCCCAAGGGAGGGAGCCGUCGAAGGUAGGGUCGAUGAUUGGGGUG
RNAcentral lists this ribosomal RNA (116 nucleotides) under uncultured bacterium. RNAcentral describes it as "partial 16S ribosomal RNA". It matches the Rfam family "Bacterial small subunit ribosomal RNA", at positions 1369 to 1482 of the family's 1533-position model. The record is from RNAcentral.